CAGCCAUCCCAGUGGGUGUAUCCUCAUUCUGGCACAAGCUGAGGAAGUCACAGGACAUGCCCUUUGGCUUCCAGGUCUGCUGAAAACUCCUAAUUUCCUGAAAGGCCAUGUGACAAUAGAGUCAGAGAUUGGAUGAUACAGCCGCAAGCAAACCAAGGAAUCCUGUGGAUGGCUACCAGCCUCAGAAACCAGGAAGAGACCAAGAAGGAUUCUUCCCUCGCGCCUUCAGGGAAGGAGAGGGGUGGCCCUGACAAGGUCCUCAUUUUGGACUCCCAGCUUCCAGACCUGUGAGAGAAUGAAUUUCUGUUGUUUAUGUCA
Molecule: non-coding RNA, 318 nt
Organism: Ictidomys tridecemlineatus (thirteen-lined ground squirrel)
Lineage: Eukaryota; Metazoa; Chordata; Mammalia; Rodentia; Sciuridae
Source: RefSeq, a predicted model, not a curated record